CGGGACUGGAGCUAAGCCGGUGUGAAUCGAGGCUGCAUGUGCCUGGGUGUAGUGGACCGUGCACACUUGGGGAAAUGCACGUGGUGCAAUGAGCCUCUCCAUUUUCAGAAUUGUGAGGGUGAGCGAGAGGGGCUGCCCGGCGUGUGCAGACUCUGCGCCGGCUCGUCUGUUUGGGGAGCUGUUGGUUAUCUUUAGGGAUGGGAAGACAUACAAGAAAGCAACCAGUUACUGGAUUAUAUGAGGAAGGCUGUGACAGAGGCCAUACCGGAUGCUGCAGGAACACAGAAAAAGAAGGAUCUACGCCCUUUGAUGAAUUCCCAGGAAGCCUUCCCAGAUGUGUCAGUGGGCUCUUGAAGGGUGCUCAUCUACUGGAAAGGCUUCAACUUUCACCUUUGCUGAUGACGUUCCAGUCCCAGUCUGCCCAAUCUGAAUUCUUCCUCAGCCUCUGCUUAGCUUCCUAUCCUCCGUUCCUUCUCCUAUGAUCUAGGCAGACAUUGAGGAUUAUGCCUGGCACAUUUUCUCAGAGGGCCAAGGCACAGCCUUAAUUUUCUACUCAACUGGGAGCUCUAGGCACCCAUUACCAUUCAGAGUUGGCAUUCGAGACAAAAACUAUUUUUUUCCUGAAUCUAGUCCUUUUAAUUUUAAGCACCUUAAGGAAUAUACCUUUUAAAGUGUCUUGAAGGAUUUCAUUCCCCCAUUCAUUCAGCAAACUGUAAAGAGCUUCCCAUGUGCUGCCUGUUGAAUGCAACAUCCUCCCUCUCAAACCCUCUCCUGCUCAACAGGUCCCCUGCUAUCAAUGAUACCAGCAAUAGCACUGAAAGAAUAAAUAUACACCAGAUAACACAGAAUUUCAAAUAGGCCAGGCACGGUGGCUCACACCUGUAAUCCCAGCACUUUGGAAGGCCGAGGCGGGUGGAUCACCAGGUCAGGAGUUCAAGACCAGCCUGACCAACAUGGUGAAACCCCAUCUCUACUAAAAAUACAAAAAUAAGUUGGGUGUAGUGGCGUGCGCCUGUAGUCCCAGCUACUCAGGAGGCUGAGGCAGGAGAAUAGCUUGAACCUGGGAGGCGGAGGUUGCAGUGAACUAAGAUCGCACUGCACUCCAGCCUGAGCGACAGAGCAAGACUCCAUCUCAAAAAAAAAAAAAAA
This 1149-nucleotide long non-coding RNA is filed under the name Homo sapiens (human). RNAcentral's name for it is "HSALNT0147166". Lineage: Eukaryota; Metazoa; Chordata; Mammalia; Primates; Hominidae. The record is from RNAcentral.